GCGGAUGUGGUGGAAUUGGCAGACACGCUGGCUUCAGGAGCCAGUGGCCGCAAGGUCGUGGAGGUUCAAAUCCUCUCAUCCGCA
Molecule: transfer RNA, 84 nt
Filed under: Candidatus Yanofskybacteria bacterium RIFCSPLOWO2_01_FULL_49_25
Lineage: Bacteria; Candidatus Yanofskyibacteriota
Description: tRNA-Leu
Rfam family: tRNA
About the family: Transfer RNA (tRNA) molecules are approximately 80 nucleotides in length.
Source: RNAcentral